CACCAGGUUGAUUCUGCCUGAACGUGGAUGCUAGUCUCAUAGGUUAAGCCAUGCAUGUGGAAGCGAAGCCUUUAAGGUGGAGCGGCGUACGGCUCAGUAACGGGCGAUCAAUUUGAUCUGCCUAUACGGACAUCCUCUGUAAACGGAGGGUAAAACGUAAGGGGGGCGUUCCUAGCGGAAGUUCGCCAAACCUGUAAAGGUGAGGCAGAGUAAGAAGCCAUCCCAUCAGUUAUUAAGUAGGGUAAGGGCCUACUUAGACGAAGACGGGUACGGGGAAUUAUCGUUUGAUUCCGGAGAGGGAGCCUGAGAGACGGCUACCGGGUCCAAGGACAACAGCAGGCGCGAAAAUUACCGCAGCCUGCGAUCAGGGCGGUAGUAAGGAGACGUGAUGACGAAGUGCUGAUAAAAGCUGCACUAGUGACAGGAGGAAAAGACUGGUGCCAGCACCCGCGGUAAUACCAGCUCCUGGAGUGUCUAUGAUGAUUGCUGCAGUUAAAGAGUUCGUAGCCGAGGCAUUAUUAACUGCGUUAAAGGGGAUAUCUCAAUUAUCCCUGUGCGCAGUGAUUUUGCAGAAUAAGGAGUGCUUAGGGGCUAGAGUAUCAUACGGCGACUGGUGAAAUGGGAUGACCCGUGUGGGAGUAACAGAGGCGAAAGCGCUGGCCAGGGGCGAAUCCGAUGGUAAAGGACGUAGGCUAGAGGAUCGAAGACGAUUAGAGACCGUUGUAGUUCUAGCAGUAAACGAUGCCGAUGUCGUGGUGCCGAAAAAUGGCGACGCGAAAGAGAAAUCGAGUAGGGCCCUGGGGAGAGUACACGCGCAAGCGAGAAUUUAAAGGAAAUUGACGGAAGAACACCACAAGGAGUGGAGUGUGCGGCUUAAUUUGACUCAACGCGGGACAACUUACCGGGCCCGACGACCGUAAGAGUGUGACACACGAUAGGUCGAAGAGUGGUGCAUGGCCGUUAACGACGAGUGGAGUGAUCUUUGGGUUAAGUCCGUAAAUUAGUGAGACCUCAGCCGUAAGGGACAGGUGCGCAAAGCACAGGAAGGAUGGGUCAAGGACAGGUCAGUGAUGCCCUUAGAUGGUCCGGGCUGCACGCGCACUACAGUGGUCGCCGAAAUUAGCUGAUAAUUUUAAAGGCGAUCGAGAGGGAAUGAGCUUUGUAAGAGGCUCAGGAACGAGGAAUUGCUAGUAAUCGCGGACUCAUUAAGACGCGAUGAAUACGUCCCUGUUCUUUGUACACACCGCCCGUCGUUAUCGAAGAUGAAGACAGGCGCGAACGAUCUACCAGAAAGUGAGCGCAGGUCUUUAGAUCUGAUACAAGUCGUAACAAGGUAACC
This 1339-nucleotide ribosomal RNA is filed under the name Loma sp. RNAcentral describes it as "SSU rRNA". It matches the Rfam family "Microsporidia small subunit ribosomal RNA". The record is from RNAcentral. Lineage: Eukaryota; Fungi; Microsporidia; Glugeidae.